Long non-coding RNA from Callorhinus ursinus (northern fur seal), 710 nucleotides. RefSeq lists it as uncharacterized. Lineage: Eukaryota; Metazoa; Chordata; Mammalia; Carnivora; Otariidae. The record is from RefSeq and is a predicted model, not a curated record.
UUGAAGAUGGGCCUGGCUCUGUCCCUCCCUUCUCAUCUCUUGACGUGGGUAGAGCGCCCCCUUGGGGUGAGGGACAGGUGUGACGGUGCAGGAAUGGGGCUGAGGAAGCUCUGGGCACGGCAGGAGGGUUCCAGGAUCCAGGAGGGGAGGCAGGGGCCUGGCCAGCCAGUCAGGGGCGGAGCCUGACAGGGAGUGCCUAGUCCGGAAGGGAGGGCAAAGGGCUAUGUUGUCUGCCUGCCCCACCCCACUGACAAGAGUCCCAGUCACCAGGCCACCCUCUCUGUCCGGGGCCCUAGAGGGGCCCAGCAUCCCAAGUGGCUGGAGCACUGGGGGACGCCCAGACAGAGCCCUCGCUGGACCAAGUCCUCCAGGAGCGGGAUGAAGCCAUUGCCAAGAAGCAAGCAUUGGAGGCCGAGCUGGACACAUGCAAAGCCAAGUUGCGUGCUGUGGAGGCCCAGCUACUGGAGGUCCUGGAGGAGAAACUGAGGCUGAGGCAGGAGGUGGAGGCCUGGGAGGAGGACAUGCAGCAGCUGGUGAGGCAGCGGGUCGAGAGGCAGCUGCAGAGAGAGGCCAGGGGCUCUCUGGGCGCCCCCGUGGACCCCCGAACAGCCAGGGCCCCCUGGGUCCGAUUCCCCCUGGGUCGGUGGGGACGCUGGUGGUGACAGAGCUCAGCCCAGGACCUUGGGAGCAGUGUCUUUAUUCAUUAAAGC